UCUCACAUAUUAUUCUUCACUAUGUUCUCUCUCCUGACAAAAAAACCGUCAUUCUCUUGCCUUUUUUACCCAAUCGGCGCGGACAAAGAACUGGAGAUUGACGGCCGACCUUUAUUCCUCACUGAAAUCUAACGCGGAUCGUCCAUUAUUUCAUGGGAGAAAGUUGAUUGUAGGGGACCGCCCAUCCUCCCACUUUUUUCGUCGUUGUCCCGUCGACCACUCAUUCUUACUCAGUUUAUCGUCACCGACCUCCCAUUUCCUCCUCAACAAUAGCGCCGUUGAAUAUGCCACCCUCCGCUCCUCCCCAAACGAUACAUUGUCAUUAUGGAAAACAACCGCGACGAAAAAUAGAUAGGAAGUUGCAAAUCCUUCUCGCAAUGUGAACAAUCCAAGGAAUGGAACCAACAACACCAGUUUGAUUCAAGUGUAAAGGUUAGUUUACAUUCUUAAUUACUGAUUCCUACUUAUUUUUACUUGUUCUUUGCAGAAAUUUUCCUUAAUACGAUUUUUUCAACGGUGAAGGCUCUUUCUCAUUCUUGUUGUUCAGUGUGGACAUGUUGUUUCUGUGUACCUAUUUAUCAUACCGUUGCAGGUUGCUCUUUUUUUUUUUUUGUUACAUUGCAAAUUUUCAAUUUAUUCACAAUCGGUUUUGAGUUUUUGUUAACUAAAAGAUUUGGCGAUUACCAUUAUUAUAGAUGGACCGUAAUGUCUAGCAAUCUUAAAUUCGUACAUGGUAUUAGUAAUGAAUAAGUAGGAUUCUAUGGGGAACAAUGUGUGCUUAAAGUUUAAUUAUGGAUCAAAUAGUGACUUGAUGUGUACAGAUUGUGGUUCGAAACACGACAUAUCCAUAAAAUUUGGAUUGGAAUUUGGGGAUUGGAGAUUUAAAGAGCAGACCUUGUAGAUUAGUAUUUGUAUAACCUUGUAUGGAGUAACAAUUAAAUUGUUUAAUUUUUUUUUAUAGAUUCUAAGACUAGGGUAC
Molecule: long non-coding RNA, 979 nt
Filed under: Linum usitatissimum (flax)
Lineage: Eukaryota; Viridiplantae; Streptophyta; Magnoliopsida; Malpighiales; Linaceae
Description: long non-coding RNA (LUSI_LNC004204)
Source: RNAcentral